RNAcentral lists this non-coding RNA (21 nucleotides) under Caenorhabditis elegans. The record is from RNAcentral. Lineage: Eukaryota; Metazoa; Nematoda; Chromadorea; Rhabditida; Rhabditidae.
UUAGUUUUUGUAAUUAACGAA